AAAAAGAGUAGCCUGUGGGCUGAAUGAGGAGAUACUCAAACUGUUCAGGCAGUGUGCUGGAGGCAAAGAAAAAAAAGGGAUUACUUUUGAAUUAUUCAGGUUUGAAUAAAAAGAGAAUAACUGACAGAAGCCUGUGGAUAUUUUUGAACCCUGCCAAGGAGCAGGAAACGUGAAAUGAGAUACCUGUUCAGUGGCAAAAUCCAGUUAGAUUGAUCUCAACCCAGACUACAAUGAAUUGCUACGUCUAUCUUGAUUUUUCAAACAUUUCCUUUUCUUUUUCUUUUUUUUUUCUUUUUUUUUCUUUUUUUUUUUUUCAAUAAAACUCAUCUGUUAUUUAUAAUGAUAUAGAUUAACUUUCUGAGACAAUGUCAGUCAUUUGCAUUUCCACAUGGUGAAUAUGCAAAAUAAGCCACUGGCCAAAUGCAAACAUAUAUACAGGAAAUCUUCCUGACUGUAAGUGCUUGCAAACAACAAAGACACUCAAGUAUUCUGAUGAUGGGGCUUGUAUAAGAAUCUACGUGGCUAGACAGAGUGAAUCCUCUAUUUUCUGUUCCUACUGUAACCAGCCAUAUCUCCUGCUGUUCUGAAUCACUAGGUUCAAAUCAUUGGCUUCCAAGAAUCCUGUAGCUGGAAGUGUUGAAGACAGAAAAACUCUAAUGGGUCAUUUCGGACAGCCUCCUGCCAGGACAUGAUUAUUCCCUCCAGAGCUAUGUUAGUGCUUGAUGAACAGCAUCACUAACCACAAAUGAGGCAAUGUUGUCCACAAACAUAGACAAGCAGAAAGAAGAUACAGGAUGGUGACCUGGAUGUCAUGAGUGUGUGAGUGGCAUCAUUUUCCUGUGUGUCAAUCUGCCUGCAUAUGAAGAUCCACUGGAACAAAGUUGAAUUUUGCAGAUGUUUUCAUUACUGAGGGCCUUGAGGUGUUGCAGAGUGGAGGUGCAUGGAAUUUCAUUUAUUUCUCUUCAACAGCUAUCAAAAGGUAUCCAAAGAAUGUGGCUGAGGAUCUCUUCACAGCCUAAAAAGUCUGGAUUAGAGAUGAGUCAUUCUGAUAAAUCUGAUAUAACAACCAUAAAUCAGAGGAAGCAAUUGGAAAGGCUGACUGCUGUUAUAUCAUUCCACUUCACUGAAUACAUUUGUUUGUUUAUUACUCACAUUUGCAAGAUGUAAGGACCCCACAGGGUUGAAAAUUUGAAAGAUUCUGUCAUUCAAUAAAAAAUCCCUAACAACAUUUGUUUUAAAAUGU
RNAcentral lists this long non-coding RNA (1243 nucleotides) under Anas platyrhynchos platyrhynchos (common mallard). Its description in RNAcentral is "lncRNA (ENSAPLG00000028201.1)". The record is from RNAcentral. Lineage: Eukaryota; Metazoa; Chordata; Aves; Anseriformes; Anatidae.